UGCAGUCGAGCGGACAGAUGGGAGCUUGCUCCCUGAUGUUAGCGGCGGACGGGUGAGUAACACGUGGGUAACCUGCCUGUAAGACUGGGAUAACUCCGGGAAACCGGGGCUAAUACCGGAUGGUUGUUUGAACCGCAUGGUUCAGACAUAAAAGGUGGCUUCGGCUACCACUUACAGAUGGACCCGCGGCGCAUUAGCUAGUUGGUGAGGUAACGGCUCACCAAGGCGACGAUGCGUAGCCGACCUGAGAGGGUGAUCGGCCACACUGGGACUGAGACACGGCCCAGACUCCUACGGGAGGCAGCAGUAGGGAAUCUUCCGCAAUGGACGAAAGUCUGACGGAGCAACGCCGCGUGAGUGAUGAAGGUUUUCGGAUCGUAAAGCUCUGUUGUUAGGGAAGAACAAGUGCCGUUCAAAUAGGGCGGCACCUUGACGGUACCUAACCAGAAAGCCACGGCUAACUACGUGCCAGCAGCCGCGGUAAUACGUAGGUGGCAAGCGUUGUCCGGAAUUAUUGGGCGUAAAGGGCUCGCAGGCGGUUUCUUAAGUCUGAUGUGAAAGCCCCCGGCUCAACCGGGGAGGGUCAUUGGAAACUGGGGAACUUGAGUGCAGAAGAGGAGAGUGGAAUUCCACGUGUAGCGGUGAAAUGCGUAGAGAUGUGGAGGAACACCAGUGGCGAAGGCGACUCUCUGGUCUGUAACUGACGCUGAGGAGCGAAAGCGUGGGGAGCGAACAGGAUUAGAUACCCUGGUAGUCCACGCCGUAAACGAUGAGUGCUAAGUGUUAGGGGGUUUCCGCCCCUUAGUGCUGCAGCUAACGCAUUAAGCACUCCGCCUGG
This 838-nucleotide ribosomal RNA is filed under the name Bacillus siamensis. Its description in RNAcentral is "bacterial SSU rRNA". It matches the Rfam family "Bacterial small subunit ribosomal RNA", at positions 56 to 876 of the family's 1533-position model. The record is from RNAcentral. Lineage: Bacteria; Bacillati; Bacillota; Bacilli; Caryophanales; Bacillaceae.